RNAcentral lists this ribosomal RNA (519 nucleotides) under uncultured bacterium. RNAcentral describes it as "partial 16S ribosomal RNA". It matches the Rfam family "Bacterial small subunit ribosomal RNA", at positions 28 to 507 of the family's 1533-position model. The record is from RNAcentral.
GACGAACGCUGGCGGCGUGCCUAAUACAUGCAAGUCGAGCGAGUCUGCCUUGAAGAUCGGAGUGCUUGCACUCUGUGAAACAAGAUACAGGCUAGCGGCGGACGGGUGAGUAACACGUGGGUAACCUGCCCAAGAGAUCGGGAUAACACCUGGAAACAGAUGCUAAUACCGGAUAACAACAGAUGAUGCCUAUCAACUGUUUAAAAGAUGGUUCUGCUAUCACUCUUGGAUGGACCUGCGGUGCAUUAGCUAGUUGGUAGGGUAACGGCCUACCAAGGCGAGGAUGCAUAGCCGAGUUGAGAGACUGAUCGGCCACAUUGGGACUGAGACACGGCCCAAACUCCUACGGGAGGCAGCAGUAGGGAAUCUUCCACAAUGGACGCAAGUCUGAUGGAGCAACGCCGCGUGAGUGAAGAAGGGUUUCGGCUCGUAAAGCUCUGUUGUUGGUGAAGAAGGACAGGGGUAGUAACUGACCUUUGUUUGACGGUAAUCAAUUAGAAAGUCACGGCUAACUACGUG